AGAACGAACGCUGGCGGCAUGCCUAAUACAUGCAAGUCGAACGAGACCUUCGGGUCUAGUGGCGCACGGGUGCGUAACGCGUGGGAAUCUGCCCCUUGGUUCGGAAUAACAGUUAGAAAUGACUGCUAAUACCGGAUGACGACGUAAGUCCAAAGAUUUAUCGCCGAGGGAUGAGCCCGCGUAGGAUUAGCUAGUUGGUGAGGUAAUGGCUCACCAAGGCGACGAUCCUUAGCUGGUCUGAGAGGAUGAUCAGCCACACUGGGACUGAGACACGGCCCAGACUCCUACGGGAGGCAGCAGUGGGGAAUAUUGGACAAUGGGCGAAAGCCUGAUCCAGCAAUGCCGCGUGAGUGAUGAAGGCCUUAGGGUUGUAAAGCUCUUUUACCAGGGUAUGAUAAUGACAGUACCUGGAGAAUAAGCUCCGCUAACUCCGCGCCAGCACGCGC
RNAcentral lists this ribosomal RNA (446 nucleotides) under uncultured bacterium. Its description in RNAcentral is "SSU rRNA". It matches the Rfam family "Bacterial small subunit ribosomal RNA", at positions 26 to 518 of the family's 1533-position model. The record is from RNAcentral.